This 500-nucleotide ribosomal RNA is filed under the name uncultured bacterium. RNAcentral describes it as "bacterial SSU rRNA". It matches the Rfam family "Bacterial small subunit ribosomal RNA", at positions 28 to 507 of the family's 1533-position model. The record is from RNAcentral.
GACGAACGCUGGCGGCGUGCCUAAUACAUGCAAGUCGAGCGGAAUGAUGAAGAAGCUUGCUUCUUCUGAUUUUAGCGGCGGACGGGUGAGUAACACGUGGGCAACCUACCUUGUAGAUUGGGAUAACUCCGGGAAACCGGGGCUAAUACCGAAUAAUCCAUUUUGCUUCAUGGCGAGAUGUUAAAAGGCGGCUUCGGCUGUCUCUACGAGAUGGGCCCGCGGCGCAUUAGCUAGUUGGUAGGGUAAUGGCCUACCAAGGCGACGAUGCGUAGCCGACCUGAGAGGGUGAUCGGCCACACUGGGACUGAGACACGGCCCAGACUCCUACGGGAGGCAGCAGUAGGGAAUCUUCCACAAUGGACGAAAGUCUGAUGGAGCAACGCCGCGUGAGUGAAGAAGGUUUUCGGAUCGUAAAACUCUGUUGUAAGGGAAGAACACGUACGAGAGUAACUGCUCGUACCUUGACGGUACCUUAUUAGAAAGCCACGGCUAACUACGUG